This 497-nucleotide ribosomal RNA is filed under the name uncultured bacterium. RNAcentral's name for it is "partial 16S ribosomal RNA". It matches the Rfam family "Bacterial small subunit ribosomal RNA", at positions 28 to 507 of the family's 1533-position model. The record is from RNAcentral.
GAUGAACGCUGGCGGCGUGCCUAAUACAUGCAAGUCGAGCGAACGGACGAGAAGCUUGCUUUUCUGAUGUUAGCGGCGGACGGGUGAGUAACACGUGGAUAACCUACCUAUAAGACUGGGAUAACUUCGGGAAACCGGAGCUAAUACCGGAUAAUAUUUUGAACCACAUGGUUCAAAAGUGAAAGACGGUCUUGCUGUCACUUAUAGAUGGAUCCGCGCUGCAUUAGCUAGUUGGUAAGGUAACGGCUUACCAAGGUAACGAUGCAUAGCCGACCUGAGAGGGUGAUCGGCCACACUGGAACUGAGACACGGUCCAGACUCCUACGGGAGGCAGCAGUAGGGAAUCUUCCGCAAUGGGCGAAAGCCUGACGGAGCAACGCCGCGUGAGUGAUGAAGGUCUUCGGAUCGUAAAACUCUGUUAUUAGGGAAGAACAUAUGUGUAAGUAACUGUGCACAUCUUGACGGUACCUAAUCAGAAAGCCACGGCUAACUACGUG